GAUGAAGAACGCAGCGAAAUGCGAUACUUGGUGUGAAUUGCAGAAUCCCGUGAACCAUCGAGUCUUUGAACGCAAGUUGCGCCCGAAGCCAUUAGGCCGAGGGUACGCCUGCCUGGGCGUCACACGUCGUUGCCCCCCCAUCUACUCCUUCGGGAUUGCGGGGGGCGGAUGAUGGCCUCCCGUGCGCCUCGUCGCGCGGUUGGCCUAAAUGCCAAGUCCUCGGCGACGCACGCCACGACAAUCGGUGGUUGCGAAACCUCGGUUGCCUGUCGUGUGCGGUCGUCGCGCAUCGAGGGCUCGAAAAAAUUGCCGGGCUUCGGCUCGACUUUCAACGCGACCCCAGGUCAGGCGGGGUUACCCGCUGAAUUUAAGCAUAUCAAUAAGCGGAGGA
This 391-nucleotide unclassified non-coding RNA is filed under the name soil metagenome. RNAcentral's name for it is "partial contains 5.8S ribosomal RNA, internal transcribed spacer 2, and large subunit ribosomal RNA". The stretch from base 1 to 122 matches the Rfam family "5.8S ribosomal RNA", at positions 35 to 154 of the family's 154-position model. The record is from RNAcentral.